AUUGAACGCUGGCGGCAGGCUUAACACAUGCAAGUCGAGCGGGGUGAUGGUGCUUGCACUAUCACCUAGCGGCGGACGGGUGAGUAAUGCUUAGGAAUCUGCCUAUUAGUGGGGGACAACAUCUCGAAAGGGAUGCUAAUACCGCAUACGUCCUACGGGAGAAAGCAGGGGAUCACUUGUGACCUUGCGCUAAUAGAUGAGCCUAAGUCGGAUUAGCUAGUUGGUGAGGUAAUGGCUCACCAAGGCAACGAUCGGUAGCCGGCCUGAGAGGGCGGACGGCCACACUGGGACUGAGACACGGCCCAGACUCCUACGGGAGGCAGCAGUGGGGAAUUGUUCGCAAUGGGCGCAAGCCUGACGACGCAACGCCGCGUGGAGGAUGAAGGUCUUCGGAUUGUAAACUCCUGUUGACCGGGACGAAUGUCCUUGCGGUAAACAGCCGCGAGGGGUGACGGUACCGGUUGAGGAAGCCCCGGCUAACUCUGUGCCAGCCGCCGCAGUAA
Molecule: ribosomal RNA, 503 nt
Filed under: uncultured bacterium
Lineage: Bacteria
Description: partial 16S ribosomal RNA
Rfam family: Bacterial small subunit ribosomal RNA
Source: RNAcentral